CUGGUCUAACCUAUUCAUGACAGGUCUGGUCUAACCUAUUCAUGACAGGUCUGGUCUAACCUAUUCAUGACAGGUCUGGUCUAACCUAUUCCUGACAGGCCUGGUCUAACCUAUUCAUGACAGGCCUGGUCUAACCUAUUCAUGACAGGUUUGGGUAAAUAACAGGAGAAAUGUGAUAACUAAAACACCAGAGAACUGGGGAGAAAAUAGGAGUCAACAUCAUAAACUGACUGACAUACAAUGAGUGUACAAAACAUUAAGAACACCUUCCUGAUAUUGACCCCUCCCCCCUUUUGCCCUCAGAACAGCCUCAAUUUGUCGGGGUAUGGACUCUACAACGUGUUGAAAGUGUUCCACAGGGAUGCAGUUGUGUCAAGUCGGCUGGAUGUCCUUUGGUUGGUUAACCAUUCUUGAUACACACGGGAAACUGUUGAGCGUGAAAAACCCAGCAGCGUUGCAGUUCUUGACACAACGGUGCGCCCGGCACCUACUGCCAUACCCCCUACCAUACCCACUACCAUACCCUGUUCAAAGACACAUUUUUCUUGCCCACUCACCCUCUGAAUGUCCCACAUACACGAUCCAUGUCUCAAUUGUCUCAAGUCUUAAAAAUCCUUCUUUAACCACUGAUUGAAAUGGAUUUAACAAGUGACAUCAAUAAGGGAUAAUAGCUUUCACCUGGUCAGUCUAGGGGCGGCAGGUAGGCUAGUGGUUAGAGCGUUGGACUAGUAACCAAAAGGUUGCAAGAUCAAAUCCCAGAGCUGACAAGGUGAAAAUCUGGCGUCCUGUUCCUAGGCCGUCAUUGAAAAUAAGAAUUUGUUCUUAACUGACUUGCCUAGUAAAAUAAAUGUCAUGGAAAGAACAGGUGUUCAUAAUGUUUUGUACACUCAGUGUAUAUGUAAAUAAAUGAAAUGUAAACACACAUUGAAAUGAAUUGCAAACCCAUUGAAGUGAAUGUAAUGUAUUUCAAUACAGGGUAUUACAUCUGUAAAAACUAAUCAAUCACUCACCACCAGCAUUUACUACAGGACUGAGUUCACGUCUCCGUGUUUCACAGCUGUGUUGUGAUUGGAUACGUUUUGCAGUUCUAGGCUCUCAUUGGAUGAUUUUGCUAGUUGUGGGCUUUCAUCUCACUCUGUGUCACUUGUUCUCAUUGAGUUAUUUGUUGUAAAUGGUCGCCAGCUGUUACUGUGUUAGAAUGUCCUAUUAGGUCUCUGUUCUGUCUGUCACUCUGUCAGACUGUCCUAGCAGGUCUCUGUUCUGACUGUCACUCUGUCAGACUGUCCUAGCAGGUCUCUGUUCUAUCUGUCACUGUGUCAGACUGUCCUAGCAGGUCUCUGUUCUGACUGUCCUAGCAGGACUGUUCUGUCUGUCCUAGCAGGUCUCUGUUCUGACUGUCCUAGCAGGUCUCUGUUCUGACUGUCCUAGCAGGUCUCUGUUCUGACUGUCCUAGCAGGUCUCUGUUCUGACUGUCCUAGCAGGUCUCUGUUCUGACUGUCCUAGCAGGUCUCUGUUCUGACUGUCCUAGCAGGUCUCUGUUCUGACUGUCCUAGCAGGUCUCUGUUCUGACUGUCCUAGCAGGUCUCUGUUCUGACUGUCACUGUGUCAGACUGUUCUAGCAGGUCUCUGUUCUGACUGUCACUGUGUCAGACUGUCCUAGCAGGUCUCUGUUCUGACUGUCCUAGCAGGUCUCUGUUCUGACUGUCCUAGCAGGUCUCUGUUCUGACUGUCCUAGCAGGUCUCUGUUCUGACUGUCCUAGCAGGUCUCUGUUCUGACUGUCACUGUGUCAGACUGUUCUAGCAGGUCUCUGUUCUGACUGUCACUGUGUCAGACUGUCCUAGCAGGUCUCUGUUCUGACUGUCCUAGCAGGUCUCUGUUCUGACUGUCCUAGCAGGUCUCUGUUCUGACUGUCCUAGCAGGACUCUGUUCUGACUGUCCUAGCAGGACUCUGUUCUGACUGUCCUAGCAGGUCUCUGUUCUGACUGUCCUAGCAGGACUCUGUUCUGACUGUCCUAGCAGGUCUCUGUUCUGACUGUCCUAGCAGGACUCUGUUCUGACUGUCCUAGCAGGUCUCUGUUCUGACUGUCCUAGCAGGUCUCUGUUCUGACUGUCCUAGCAGGUCUCUGUUCUGACUGUCCUAGCAGGUCUCUGUUCUGACUGUCCUAGCAGGUCUCUGUUCUGACUGUCCUAGCAGGACUCUGUUCUGACUGUCCUAGCAGGUCUCUGUUCUGACUGUCCUAGCAGGUCUCUGUUCUGACUGUCCUAGCAGGACUCUGUUCUGACUGUCCUAGCAGGUCUCUGUUCUGACUGUCCUUGCAGGUCUCCACAGCAUUCUGGGAGUACUGUUCUGUCUGUAAAGUGAAAUCCCCUGGUUGCUCGUUUUAUGUUUUCUAUUGUAAACAAUGAGAUGCUUUUGGAAUAAAAGUCUAAAGCAAAACAUUCCA
Molecule: long non-coding RNA, 2445 nt
Filed under: Salmo salar (Atlantic salmon)
Lineage: Eukaryota; Metazoa; Chordata; Actinopteri; Salmoniformes; Salmonidae
Description: lncRNA (ENSSSAG00000087117.1, ENSSSAG00000089685.1)
Source: RNAcentral